UAUGUUCUUGAAAUUAAAAGGAUUUGGCGGUGUUUUAGUUCUGAUUAGUGGAACCUGUCCUGUAAUCGAUAAUCCACGUUAAAUUUUACUUGUUUUACAAGUUUGUAUACCGUCGUAGUUUGAGUAUUUUUAAAGAAUAUAAAUGCUCAGGAGUUAUUAUUGAAAAAGUAAAUCAGAUCAAGGUACAGCGUAUAAACAAGGAGAGAUGGGUUACAUUGGAGUUAUCCAAAUAGUUUAGUCUUUGAAAAAUUAUCUAAUAAUAUGAAUUUGAUAGUAAUGAGAUUUAUUUAAAUUUCAUGAUUUAGUUCUGAAACGUGCACAUAUCGCCCGUCACUCCCACCUUCAAAGUGGGAUAAGUCGUAACAUAGUAGGCGUACUGGAAAGUGUGCCUGGGUUGACAGAUCAGAGCUUGUUAGAAAGCAUUUUAUUUACAUUAAAAAGUUAAUUGUGAGAAUCAAUUUGAUCUGAAUUUAAUUAAUUAUUAUUUUCUUAUAAAAAAAAUAAUUUUAUGUUUUAUUAUUUUCUUAGGAAAAAUUUACUUAAUUAUAGUUGAUUAGUAUAGUGAUAGAAUUUAUAAAAAUGUUACAAAGAAGAAUUAAGUUUUUGUACCUUGGGUAUCAGGGUUUAUUAAAUAGAACUUAGUUAGCUUAGUUUUCUCGAUUUUAAAAGAGCUAUAGAGUUAUAUAUUUUAUUGUUGAAUAAAUAUUUAAAAUAAUUUUUUUGCAAUGAAACGUUAGCCGUUUUUAAAUAUAUCUAGUUUCCCAAGAAAUAAAUUUAAUUUAAUUAUUGUUUUUAAUUGAUUUAAUUUUUUAAGUUAAUUUAAACGAUAUUAAAUACUUUGAGGGAUAAGCUUCGAGGUAAAUUCUUAUAAUUUAUUACAUUAAAUUUAAAAUACAUGGGAUUAAAAAUAUCCAUUAUUGAUAGUUUGUUAUAAUUAACUUUUUGUUGAAUAUGAUUUGUAUAUAGUUUAGAAUUUUUAUUGGGGUAAUUUACUUAACUUAUAAUUAUAAGUAAUAAUGAUAGAAUUAGUAUAUAAAAUUGUUUGAAUAAUUUAAAAUUGUUAGGUUGAAAUAAGGAACUCGGCAAACAGCCCUUCCGCCUGUUUAUUAAAAACAUGGCUUUUCGAUUUUAAUUUAAAGUCUGACCUGCCCACUGAAAUUAUUUAAAUGGCCGCAGUAUUUUGACUGUGCAAAAGUAGCAUAAUAAUUAGCUUUUUAAUUGAAAGCUGGAAUGAAUGGUUGGACGAGAAGGGGACUGUCUCUUUUUAAUUUUUUUAGAAAUUUAUUUUUAAGUAAAAAAGCUUAAAUAUAUUUUAAAGACGAGAAGACCCUAUAGAGUUUAAUAUUUAGUUUUACAGGUUGAUUUUAAGAAUUGUAUAUCAAACUGUAAAAUCAAAUAUUUGAUUGAGGGUGAUCGGAAAAUUUAAUAAACUUUUCCUUUAUUUUUAACAUUAA
Molecule: ribosomal RNA, 1454 nt
Filed under: Blackbolbus sp. NLG-2014
Lineage: Eukaryota; Metazoa; Arthropoda; Insecta; Coleoptera; Geotrupidae
Description: partial 16S ribosomal RNA
Source: RNAcentral